GGGUUGUGAGGUUAAGCGACUAAGCGUACACGGUGGAUGCCCUGGCAGUCAGAGGCGAUGAAGGGCGUGCUAAUCUGCGAUAAGCGCCGGUAAGGUGAUAUGAACCGUUAUAACCGGCGAUACCCGAAUGGGGAAACCCAGUGUGACUCGUCACACUAUCAUUAACUGAAUCCAUAGGUUAAUGAGGCGAACCGGGGGAACUGAAACAUCUAAGUACCCCGAGGAAAAGAAAUCAACCGAGAUUCCCCCAGUAGCGGCGAGCGAA
Molecule: ribosomal RNA, 265 nt
Filed under: Salmonella enterica
Lineage: Bacteria; Pseudomonadati; Pseudomonadota; Gammaproteobacteria; Enterobacterales; Enterobacteriaceae
Also listed under: 1 other name
Description: partial 23S ribosomal RNA
Rfam family: Bacterial large subunit ribosomal RNA
Source: RNAcentral